RNAcentral lists this ribosomal RNA (487 nucleotides) under Vibrio tubiashii. Its description in RNAcentral is "bacterial SSU rRNA". It matches the Rfam family "Bacterial small subunit ribosomal RNA", at positions 54 to 522 of the family's 1533-position model. Lineage: Bacteria; Pseudomonadati; Pseudomonadota; Gammaproteobacteria; Vibrionales; Vibrionaceae. The record is from RNAcentral.
CAUGCAGUCGAGCGGAACGAGUUAACUGAACCUUCGGGGGACGUUAACGGCGUCGAGCGGCGGACGGGUGAGUAAUGCCUAGGAAAUUGCCCUGAUGUGGGGGAUAACCAUUGGAAACGAUGGCUAAUACCGCAUAAUCUCUUCGGAGCAAAGAGGGGGACCUUCGGGCCUCUCGCGUCAGGAUAUGCCUAGGUGGGAUUAGCUAGUUGGUGAGGUAAUGGCUCACCAAGGCGACGAUCCCUAGCUGGUCUGAGAGGAUGAUCAGCCACACUGGAACUGAGACACGGUCCAGACUCCUACGGGAGGCAGCAGUGGGGAAUAUUGCACAAUGGGCGCAAGCCUGAUGCAGCCAUGCCGCGUGUAUGAAGAAGGCCUUCGGGUUGUAAAGUACUUUCAGCAGUGAGGAAGGUUCAUGCGUUAAUAGCGUAUGGAUUUGACGUUAGCUGCAGAAGAAGCACCGGCUAACUCCGUGCCAGAGCCCGCGGUA